CAGCACCGGCCUUUCCCCGCCGCCGCCCGGCCCGGCUCCGCUCGCCUCAGCACGCGCCGCUCUCCGGCGCCAUGUUCUCCGCCCGCCUCCCCCCGCCGCCCGGCCAAUCCCUCCCGGCGCCCGCGGGGUCCCGUCCGCCCUCCGCGCCCGGGCCUGGCGGGACCCGUACCUGGGGGUGCCGGGAGCUGCCGCCUCUGCCGCCGGGAGGGCCGGGGCUGCGGCUGAGGAGGGGGCCGGGGGCCUCUGGGAGGAGGCGGAGGCGGUGGAGGGGGUGGGUGGCUGGGCGGGGAGCCGGGGCGACACUCGCCGCGGCGGGGGGGCCGCGCCCGGCGGAGGCGGACGGGGUUGCGGCGCGAAGGGCGGCCCCGGGCUGCACCCGCGGAGAGACCGUGUCGCGGCCCGCCCGCUUCCUGGUGGCCGCGCUCCGCGUCCCUGGCGGCCUCUGCCAAACAAAAGAGUUAUGA
RNAcentral lists this long non-coding RNA (464 nucleotides) under Zonotrichia albicollis (white-throated sparrow). RNAcentral's name for it is "lncRNA (ENSZALG00000007092.1)". The record is from RNAcentral. Lineage: Eukaryota; Metazoa; Chordata; Aves; Passeriformes; Passerellidae.